This 765-nucleotide ribosomal RNA is filed under the name uncultured fungus. RNAcentral describes it as "SSU rRNA". It matches the Rfam family "Eukaryotic small subunit ribosomal RNA", at positions 804 to 1590 of the family's 1831-position model. The record is from RNAcentral. Lineage: Eukaryota; Fungi.
UUAGCAUGGAAUAAUGGAAUAGGACGGCUUUCCUAUUUUGUUGGUUUCUAGGGAAGCCGUAAUGAUUAAUAGGGAUAGUCGGGGGCAUCAGUAUUCAAUUGUCAGAGGUGAAAUUCUUGGAUUUAUUGAAGACUAACUACUGCGAAAGCAUUUGCCAAGGAUGUUUUCAUUAAUCAGUGAACGAAAGUUAGGGGAUCGAAGACGAUCAGAUACCGUCGUAGUCUUAACCAUAAACUAUGCCGACUAGGGAUCGGGCGAUGUUACUAUCUUGACUCGCUCGGCACCUUACGAGAAAUCAAAGUUUUUGGGUUCUGGGGGGGGUAUGGUCGCAAGGCUGAAACUUAAAGAAAUUGACGGAAGGGCACCACCAGGAGUGGAGCCUGCGGCUUAAUUUGACUCAACACGGGGAAACUCACCAGGUCCAGAUACAAGUAGGAUCGACAGAUUGAGAGCUCUUUCUUGAUUUUGUAGUUGGUGGUGCAUGGCCGUUCUUAGUUGGUGGAGUGAUUUGUCUGCUUAAUUGCGAUAACGAACGAGACCUUAACCUGCUAAAUAGCCCGGCUCGCUUUGGCGGGUCGCCGGCUUCUUAGAGGGACUAUCGGCUCAAGCCGAUGGAAGUUUGAGGCAAUAACAGGUCUGUGAUGCCCUUAGAUGUUCUGGGCUGCACGCGCGCUACACUGACAGAGCCAACGAGUUUUUUUCCUUGGCCGGAAGGUCUGGGUAAUCUUGUUAAACUCUGUCGUGCUGGGGAUAGAGCAUUGCAAU